This 63-nucleotide transfer RNA is filed under the name Quercophylus gonoporospinus. RNAcentral's name for it is "tRNA-Leu". The record is from RNAcentral. Lineage: Eukaryota; Metazoa; Arthropoda; Insecta; Hemiptera; Miridae.
UCUAGUAUGGCAGAAUAGUGCAAUGAACUUAAGAUUCAUAUAUGAGAAUAUACUCUACUAGAA